GUCUGUAACCAGUAACUAGUCUAGGGAGAGACCUGUUGUCUUUAGUUAAAUUUAUUUAAAUGAAUGUAAUACACAUUAUUAUAUCCUUCUGGCUAAAUCCCAAAUGGCACCCUAAAUGACCAGUUCAAAAGUAGUGCACUUUAUAGGGAACAGGGUGUCAUUUGGGCCAAAUAUAGGAUAAUUUGACUGUAGCCUUCUGCGUUCAGCAGAGACCACUUUUUCCUUGUUGGCACUUUAUCUGUUGGUUAGUAGGUGUUAUUAUAUUAUUGAACCUCUUGAGCCAUACGCUAUUGGGUUAGUCAGACUGAUCAGCAAGUCUCAAUAAGGUGUUGGGAUCAACAAGCCUCAAUAAGGUGUUGGGUUAGUCAGGCUGAUCGGCAAGUCUCAAUAAGGUGUUGGGAUCAACAAGUCUCAAUAAGGUGUUGGGUUAGUCAGGCUGAUCAACAAGUCUCAAUAAGGUGUUGGGUUAGUCAGGCUGAUCAGCAAGUCUCAAGUCUCAAACACCUUAGUAAUAUAUUCUGUCCAUGGACUCAUGCUACUCAUUUUCACUGGGGUUGUGUGUCCCAAAUGGCAACUCAUUCUACAUUUGACCAGGGCCCAUAUGGGGG
Oncorhynchus tshawytscha (Chinook salmon) is the source of this 608-nucleotide long non-coding RNA. Lineage: Eukaryota; Metazoa; Chordata; Actinopteri; Salmoniformes; Salmonidae. The record is from Ensembl.